Molecule: non-coding RNA, 30 nt
Filed under: Mus musculus (house mouse)
Lineage: Eukaryota; Metazoa; Chordata; Mammalia; Rodentia; Muridae
Source: RNAcentral
UGCACUGCUUCGCCAUUUUCUGCAAGGAUC